This 294-nucleotide long non-coding RNA is filed under the name Homo sapiens (human). Its description in RNAcentral is "HSALNT0109321". Lineage: Eukaryota; Metazoa; Chordata; Mammalia; Primates; Hominidae. The record is from RNAcentral.
CUAAGAUAAGGCAUUCUUCCUGGGCAGCAGUGAGUAUAGGAACAGUUGGCCUUUUUGGAUGAAGGUGUGAUUACUGGAAAGGAGUACUGCCAGGUGAUAAAGUAAGAAGACAAAGAUGCAGACAAUCAAAAGCAGCCACAUCAGUCUGGUGAUGGGCAAGGGAACACGUGUCAAAGCCAGCUGACCUUUACAUACAUCACGGCUAACUAGAAAACCAUUUGGUGACUUGCUAGUUCCUCGAACUUCUGGGAAAGAGAAUGGUGUUAUAGGAAUUUCGCCUUCUCCUGGUGUCGA